AAGUCGUAACAAGGUUUCCGUAGGUGAACCUGCGGAAGGAUCAUUAAAGAGUUAGGGUCUCAUACGGCCCGACCUCCCAACCCUUUGUGUAUUGAACCUGUGUUGCUUCGGCGGGCCCGUCGUGAAAACGACCGCCGGAGGAUCGUCGAGAGGCGUCCUCUGGCCCGCGCCCGCCGGUGGCCUACACCUACAAACUCUGAAUGAAUCAUGUCCUAUGUCUAAGUUUUUUUGAUAAAUAAAAAGCAAAACUUUCAACAACGGAUCUCUUGGUUCUG
This 275-nucleotide unclassified non-coding RNA is filed under the name fungal sp. RNAcentral describes it as "partial internal transcribed spacer region". The stretch from base 1 to 46 matches the Rfam family "Eukaryotic small subunit ribosomal RNA", at positions 1786 to 1831 of the family's 1831-position model. Lineage: Eukaryota; Fungi. The record is from RNAcentral.